CCAAUUCAAAUCUCUAGUCACCUUGAAAAUAGAUAUACGGUUGAACUUAAAAGAGGAAAUACAUAGAACAUCUUUGAGCAAAUCACCUCUAUUCAAGUGAUAAUUCCAUACAUAAGUAAUUUGUGCAGAGUUCCAUGUGGACCAGUAUCCUAUACUUAAACGCCAUUCAACAAUAAGUGCUUAAUACUAGCCAUGUUAUUAGUUGCCCAUGUAUCUAGUAUCCAAGUAGCACAUGACUUAGGCAAAGAAAAAGAUAUUUUAGCACUUAUAAUGACCCGGCUGGUCGUUUUAUGAUUUACUACUCUGUUUCUCCCCUUUUCUGCUUCUUUAUAUGUUGUUCAGCUAUAUUUUAUCGUAUCAUGUUGUUAGUUUGGGUUUAGAGUGGUUUUGUAGAGAAAUGAGACACUUAGUCUCAUAAGUUGGCCUUUUAGUUGGAACAGUCAACCGGAAGUUGGCUUGUGAGUAAACGAUCUCGGAAUUUGGCUUUUUAUGGUUAUGAUAGCUUGUGAGGUGAUUUGGGACUUAGGAGCGCGAUCUGAAUGGGUUUUAGAGGUUUAGGGUAGACUUAGGCUUGAAUUGCGGAAAUUGAAAUUUUGGCAUUUUCCGGUUGGUAGCAGAGUUUUUGGUAUAUGGUCACAAUGGAAUUUCAAAUAUUGGAGUAGGUCUGUUGUGUCAUUUGGGACGUGUGUACAAAAAUUUAGGUUAUUCGGACGAGGUUGGGUAGACUUUUUUAUCAAAAGCAGAAUUUAAAAUUUUUGGAAUUUCUUUGCUUGAAUGCGAUGAUGAUUUGAUGUUUUGAGUGUUCCAAAGGUUGGAACAAGUUUUAAUAAUGUUAUAGGAUGUAUUGGAAUGUUUGGUUGAGGUCCCAAGGGACUAGGUAAGCUUCAGAUAGUUUAACGGAUCAAACUUUAUUUUGAGAAGUUGCAGAUUUUCUGCUUUGUGUGUGCUGAGCUAUGGCUUUCACAUUCGCGAGAGGGCUCUCGCAUUCGCGAAGGGAUGAGAAGUGACGUAGGAAAUUUGUCCUUUACAUUUGCAAUGUUGGUCCUGCAUUCGCAAAGGGUGAGGCUUAGUGUGCAACAUGAACGCGAUGUAGGUCCCGUGUUCGUGUAGAGUAAUUGGAGUAGCUGGAGGUCCUGGUAAUUUGUGCUUCGCGUUUGCGCUGGGUGUGUCACGUUCGUGAUGGUCAAUGGGUUUUUAUUCUUCGCAAACGCGAGGCUUUGACCGCGUUCAUGAAGUAGGAUAUGUCACCAGAGCAGAAUGUUUAAAAUUGCCACAAUCAUUGAUAUUUAGAUACACAAGAUACUCCUUCAAUUUAGCACAAUCACAAGAAGGAAGAGGCCCAAUACAUAGAAUCAUAGUCAUAGAGAUCCUUCAAUUUGAAAUAAUACACCAAAACAGACGACAUGUCAUGUGUUAAUAUAAAAUUCCCUUUAUGCAGGCAGUGUAUGCGACAUGCAUUCACCUUGUCAAGUCAUUCAUGCAAAUCUUCCCAAAUUGCACGAGAACUAGAUCUAAGAAAAACUCUACUCAAUUGAUCCCGGCUCACAUUAUGUAUCAAAUAUGAUUUGAAACUUUAAUUGUGUUGAUCCCAGAUACUCCUGAACGGAGCUCCAUAACGGCUCUGGUUAUCAAACCAUCGGCAAAACCUAACUUGUUCCUUGUCAAUAAAGAAACCUCCAUAGCUUGGUUGAUUAGCUGAAUUCUAAGAGAAAGCAAACCAGUAGCAUCAGAAGGACGCAAGUGUAAUGGAUAAUUGUGAUCAAUCACAGUCACUCCUGUAGUAGCAGCAGCAGUUAUGCCCCGGUCAUUUAAAAUAUCAUUCGCCGUGAAAAUUAGGGCACAAAAUAACUCAGAGGAAAAUAAAAAUGGCUCUUCAACUAAUCCGUGAAGAAAAUCCCUAGAUUCACUCAAGUGAAAGCUCUGAUAAUACGUUAAAUCCAGCUAAACUAAGGAAUUGAAUAGAGAAGAUUCAAAGUGGAGAAUAAGAGAAAGCUUGGGAAGAAGUUGUACAUGGAGAAAAUUACAAUUGUUCUAUUGAGUCUUCUAUCUAAUAUAGGUAUUACUUAUACUUUU
Molecule: long non-coding RNA, 2073 nt
Filed under: Nicotiana benthamiana
Lineage: Eukaryota; Viridiplantae; Streptophyta; Magnoliopsida; Solanales; Solanaceae
Description: long non-coding RNA (NBEN_LNC017852)
Source: RNAcentral